UACAGAGGUCUCAAGCGUUGUUCGGAUUCAUUGGGCGUAAAGGGCGCGCAGGCGGCUGCUCAAGUCAGGCGUGAAAGGCCUGGGCUCAACCCGGGAAUUGCGCUUGAGACUGGGCUGGCUUGAGUGCGGGAGAGGAUGGUGGAAUUCCCAGUGUAGAGGUGAAAUUCGUAGAUAUUGGGAAGAACACCGGUGGCGAAGGCGGCCAUCUGGACCGCAACUGACGCUGAGGCGCGAAAGCGUGGGGAGCAAACAGG
Molecule: ribosomal RNA, 254 nt
Filed under: uncultured bacterium
Lineage: Bacteria
Description: partial 16S ribosomal RNA
Rfam family: Bacterial small subunit ribosomal RNA
Source: RNAcentral